This is a long non-coding RNA of Haliotis rufescens (red abalone), 435 nucleotides long. RefSeq lists it as uncharacterized. The transcript is spliced from 3 exons. The record is from RefSeq and is a predicted model, not a curated record. NCBI's taxonomy places the organism in Eukaryota, Metazoa, Mollusca, Gastropoda, Lepetellida, Haliotidae.
GGCACUCAAAAGGGGAAAAACACAGGAUGAAAAAGGAAAGGGAGAACAACAGGCUCAAACCAAGAGGAGAGACAAUGCAGAAACAAAAGGACGCAAGAAGACGCCAACUAUGAAAGAACUGGAGAUGGAGGCCUCAUUCUAUGACCUUGACGUUGUGGACAAUGAAGGGGCUGGUAACUGCAUGUUUAUUGCAUUGGCUCAACAGCUUCAAAUACAUGACAUUGACAUAAUCAGCCAUAAACAUCUGCGAGAAAAGGUUGUGUAAUAUGUGCAGGUAAGUAAACAAUAAUGCAUACUUUCAAUUUUCUUAGGGUAGGAAUUUGAUAUAGUGAAUAAAAUGUGAAAGCCUAAUUGGGCUGAAGCCAUGUCCUAUUUGUUUGGAAUCAUGUUAUUCUUAGAAAUCAGUGGACCAGCUGAAAAUUUGGCAUGCAAGUU